UGCUGCGGCGCCGCCGCCGGCGGCUGCUGUUGAGAAGUCUUAAUAAUUGUUUUAGUGAUUGGGGCCAGCAGAAACCUUCUUCCUGACAUUCUUCUAAGUGACAUUCCUGCUUCCAGCUUCCUGCCAAGACUUCCUUUAAUGGUGGACUGUAACCUGAAGCUCAAAUCCCAAAUGACGUUCCUGCUCUGUUGCCUGUGCCCUGGACUGCUCACUGCCUGAGCCUAUCUACCCUUGGGGGGUUGGAGGUGAGGUAUCACAAAGUCAUCAACACAGACUCCUGAAGAAGAGAAGGCUCCAGGAAGGAUCUGUCUAGCUGGGAAAUACACCUUCCUGUUGUUUUGGUACAGAGAAAGACCAGCUGACUGGUUUUCAGAAUGAGAAGAGUCUAGUUGGCAGCCCAAAGAGGUGACUGAGAACUGGCUGUGUAAGGACAGCAGAGCUUCCUGGGGACAGGCUUCAUUUUUCCUGCUUAAAAAAAAAAAAAGAUAUGGGAGAAUUCCAAUGUUCUGGCAAAAUUAAGGAAACCUGCAAUUGGUUGCUUGGAUAAAAAAACAGCAAACCUGUCUGUAGUAAAUUACAUAUGGGGACAAAGCCCCACUGACUCCCGAGGCUGCCUCCCUCCCUGUACUCCACCCUGCCGCCAUCCUUAAGGUAAUGUCCUUCAGAUUGCACAAGCUGCAUUUCAGAGACCUGCAGUCCAAGCUUGACACCUAAGAACUGUGUCCCCUUUAGGUAAGUCUCAUGGCUUUUUUGUCUGAGUUUCAUGAUAUUAUUUGUAACACGGUAUUAAAUCUGUUUCUUCAUAUUGAUAUGAGAAAUAAACACACUUUCAUCAGC
RNAcentral lists this long non-coding RNA (837 nucleotides) under Mus pahari (shrew mouse). Its description in RNAcentral is "lncRNA (MGP_PahariEiJ_G0002446.1)". The record is from RNAcentral. Lineage: Eukaryota; Metazoa; Chordata; Mammalia; Rodentia; Muridae.